GGGCUCAUGGUCUAGUGGUUAUGACGUCGCCUUGACAUGGCGGAGGUCCCCGGUUCAAAUCCGGGUGAGCCCA
RNAcentral lists this transfer RNA (73 nucleotides) under Methanomassiliicoccales archaeon. Its description in RNAcentral is "tRNA-Val". It matches the Rfam family "tRNA". From Rfam's summary of the family: Transfer RNA (tRNA) molecules are approximately 80 nucleotides in length. Their secondary structure includes four short double-helical elements and three loops (D, anti-codon, and T loops). Further hydrogen bonds mediate the characteristic L-shaped molecular structure. tRNAs have two regions of fundamental functional importance: the anti-codon, which is responsible for specific mRNA codon recognition, and the 3' end, to which the tRNAs corresponding amino acid is attached (by aminoacyl-tRNA synthetases). tRNAs cope with the degeneracy of the genetic code in two manners: having more than one tRNA (with a specific anti-codon) for a particular amino acid; and 'wobble' base-pairing, i.e. permitting non-standard base-pairing at the 3rd anti-codon position. Lineage: Archaea; Methanobacteriati; Thermoplasmatota; Thermoplasmata; Methanomassiliicoccales. The record is from RNAcentral.